This 253-nucleotide ribosomal RNA is filed under the name uncultured bacterium. RNAcentral's name for it is "partial 16S ribosomal RNA". It matches the Rfam family "Bacterial small subunit ribosomal RNA", at positions 524 to 776 of the family's 1533-position model. The record is from RNAcentral.
UACGGAGGGGGCUAGCGUUGUUCGGAAUUACUGGGCGUAAAGGGCGCGUAGGCGGUUUACCAAGUCAGGCGUGAAAGGCCUGGGCUCAACCCGGGAACUGCGCUUGAUACUGGUGGACUUGAGUCCGGGAGAGGAUGGCGGAAUUCCCAGUGUAGAGGUGAAAUUCGUAGAUAUUGGGAAGAACACCGGUGGCGAAGGCGGCCAUCUGGACCGGAACUGACGCUGAGGCGCGAAAGCGUGGGGAGCAAACAGG